AUAGGAAAAACCCUAACUUCCUAUUACAGAAGCAGUCCCUAACCUGUUGGCCGUUUCCUAUCUUAUCUUUAGCCUCCUAUCUUAUCUUAACUUAGGUGAUCCUAACUGUUCUUUUAAUCCGAUUUUUCGAUCGGCAAUCGUCACGUGAUGUCUGGUUCUGCACAUAAUGCGCACGAGAUUGAUAUAAGGCUUAAUAAUAACGGCAAUAAUAACGGUUAAUAAUAACGGCAAGCUUGUAGCAGUAGUACGGUCAUGGCGGGGAUUGCUACGGAAAACAAGAAGAGGAGGGGUUUUAACUUUGCCAACGACGAGCUGGAGGCAUUAGUUCAGGUGGUGGACGAAAGGAAAAGUAUUUUAUUCGGCAAAUUUUCCCCAAAUUUAACGUCGCGGAUCAAAGCAAACAGAUGGCAAGAGGUGUCGGACGCUGUCUCAGCGGUUUGUGGGGUACUGAGGACGGUGGACAGUAUAAAGAAAAAGUGGUCGACCAUAGCGAGUGACGCCAAGACCAGAGGGACGCUACAGAAGAGGGACCAGGCAAAGACGGGGGCUGGUAUGCCAGAAGUGAAGCCUAUAACCAUGCUAGAGGAGAAGAUCCUGGCCACCAUGGGUCAAGUUUACACCCAAGGCAUUUCAACCGGCAUAGAGGUGGGCCUGCCUGAGGAGAUCCUUGAGAACGUCAGUGCCGAGGUGUCUGAAUCAACUGAGGUCAUACUGACGUUGAUGGAUUCAGAGUGUGACAGCAGGACUCUGCCAACAGCAAUAAUUAUCCCAUCACCUGCUAAAAAGAAGAAACACAUUAGCCUACAAGAGGAGCUUCUGGAGUUGGAGAAGGAGAAGCUGUUGGUGAUGCGAGAGACACUAAAUGUUGAGAAGGAGAGACUGAAAUUGGAUAAAGAAAAAUUUGAAUUCAUGAAGGAGUAUUUUAUUGACCACGGGAACAAUAUUGUGAACUUAUUUGAACAAUGAAGUGAAAUAAUUUGUACACUUAUUCAAGUUUGAUUGAGUUAAACUGUUAAUUUAUUUUUUAUAUUGAAUUAAAUAUUUUACAUUAAAUUGGUAUGUUUUCUUUUUAAUUAUCUUAUCUAAAAUAAUGUGCAAUAAGAUUGUUUCUGGCAGUUCUACCAGUCUGUGCACCAUCAUGUAUGCCAUCAUGGCCUUCCUCCUCAUCUUCAACCAUGGCCGGGACGUCCUUAGGGUCCGGGAGAUUAGCAAACCUGCAUAUGUUUUGCAACACAGCAGUGGCCUUCACGAACAUCACUGCUCUCUCAGGGGAAUAUUGAAGAUAUCCCCCACUCAUAUCAUGGCAUCUCCAUCUACAACAUCAAAAGUUAAUCAGUUUGUUUGCUUACAAUGCUUUCCUUUUUGGUGUGA
This 1371-nucleotide long non-coding RNA is filed under the name Gadus morhua (Atlantic cod). RNAcentral describes it as "lncRNA (ENSGMOG00000026623.1)". Lineage: Eukaryota; Metazoa; Chordata; Actinopteri; Gadiformes; Gadidae. The record is from RNAcentral.